UCGCAUUCGCCGCAGGGGACUUCUUCCUUUUCGGCGGCGCAGGGUUCCUGCGCCUUCUUUUCUUCCUGUUCCGUCAUGACAAAAUUCCCGAUUUAAAGGGGUAAUACGUGUGAUGCCUUCUAUAUGGGGAUGAUUCCCUCUUUUUUCAAGCCUUGCGCCCGAGGGCCUCAAGCGUGAGACGGGCGUAAAGCGCCACGGCGUCGUCACAGGCGUUCAGGGCCGGGAUGUAUUCGAAGCGCCCCUCCCCGACGGACUCCUCGUAAGCGCGGCGCGCUUCGUCGUUGAUCUCCUCGAUUGUCUCGAGGCAGUCCGAAGCGAAGCCCGGACACACGACGUCGACCCGCGGCCCAGUACGCGAAAACCGACAGAAGCCCAGUGGACACCUGAGUAACCCAGGACACGAGAAAUCCGGGGCGAAUCAGCGGGGCCCAUCCCGUAAGGCUAAAUACUCCCGAGAGACCGAUAGCGAACCAGUACUGUGAAGGAAAGGUGAAAAGCACCUCGAACAGAGGAGUGAAAUAGUCCCUGAAACCGUCUGCCUACAAGCGGUCGGAGCAACGUAAGUUGUGACGGCGUGCCUUUUGCAUAAUGAACCUACGAGUUACUUUCUCCGGCAAGGUUAAGGGCUUCAGGCCCGGAGCCGAAGCGAAAGCGAGUCUUAAUAGGGCGUGAUAGUCGGAGUGAGUAGACGCGAAACCAAGUGAUCUACCCUUGGUCAGGAUGAAGGUUGGGUAACACCAACUGGAGGUCCGAAUGGGUAUACGUUGAAAAGUGUUCCAAUGAACUGAGGGUAGGGGUGAAAGGCUAAUCAAACUUGGAGAUAGCUCGUACUCCCCGAAAUGCAUUUAGGUGCAGCCUUUAUUUAGUAUAGCAUGAGGUAGAGCGACUGAUUGGAUGCGAGGGCUUCACCGCCUAUCAAGUCCAGAUAAACUCCGAAUGCGUGCUAUAUAUUGAUAAGGAGUGAGGGCGCGGGUGCUAAGGUCCGCGUCCGAGAGGAGAAGAAUCCAGACCAUCAGCUAAGGUCCCCAAAUAACAGUUAAGUUGAACUAACGAAGUCGGACUGCAGAGACAGCUAGGAUGUUGGCUUGGAAGCAGCCAUUCAUUUAAAGAGUGCGUAACAGCUCACUAGUCGAGGAGUCCGGCGUGGAUAAUACUCGGGCAUAAACUGUUUACCGAAGCUAUGGAUGUAGAAAUACAUGGUAGGGGAGCAUUCCAACGGCGUUGAAGGUGAAGGAUGACCUUUGCUGGAGCUUUUGGAAACGCAAAUGUAGGUAUAAGUAACGAUAAAGGAGGUGAGAAACCUCCUCGCCGAAAGACUAAGGUUUCCUGAUCAACGUUAAUCGGAUCAGGGUAAGUCGGGACCUAAGGUUAAGCCGAACGGCGAUACCGAUGGAAGAAUGGUUUAAUAUUCCCAUACUACUUUAUGGAGCGAUGUGGAGACGGAGAAGUGAAAGUCCUGCCAUCUGACGGAAUAGGUGGUUGAAGAGUGUAGAUGUAGAUUCCUGUAGGCAAAUCCGCAGGGAGAGUCGACCUUGACAGUAUGCCGCGUGCUUGCACAAGGCAAAAUGGACGUAAUCAGGCUCCCAAGAAAAUCCGCUAAGCAUAUUCAUAAAGUACCCGUACCGUAAACGGACACACGUAGUUGGGUUGAAAAUACUGAGGCGCUCGAGUGAUUCACGGUUAAGGAACUAGGCAAAUUGACCCUGUAACUUCGGGAUAAAGGGUCCCUACUGAGAGGUAGGGCGCAGAGAAUAGGUCCAGGCAACUGUUUAACAAAAACACAUGGCUGUGCGAAAUAGAAAUAUGAAGUAUACAGCCUGACACCUGCCCGGUGCUGGAAGGUUAAGAGGAGAGCUCAUCGCAAGAGAAGGCUUGAAUUGAAGCCCCAGUAAACGGCGGCCGUAACUAUAACGGUCCUAAGGUAGCGAAAUUCCUUGUCGGGU
RNAcentral lists this ribosomal RNA (1943 nucleotides) under human gut metagenome. Its description in RNAcentral is "bacterial LSU rRNA". It matches the Rfam family "Bacterial large subunit ribosomal RNA", at positions 268 to 1977 of the family's 2925-position model. The record is from RNAcentral.